GAUGAAGAACGUAGCGAAAUGCGAUAAGUAGUGUGAAUUGCAGAAUUCAGUGAAUCAUCGAAUCUUUGAACGCACAUUGCGCCCUUUGGUAUUCCUUAGGGCAUGCCUGUUCGAGCGUCAUUUAAACCUUCAAGCUAAGCUUGGUGUUGGGUGACUGUCCGCUUCACGGCGGACUCGCCUCAAAAUUAUUGGCGGCCGGUACAUUGGCUUCGAGCGCAGCAGAAACGCGAACUCGGGCCCGUCGUAUUGGCUCCCAGAAGCUAUCUUCACAAUUUUGAGCUCGGAUCAGGUAGGGAUACCCGCUGAACUUAAGCAUAUCAAUAAGCGGAGGA
Molecule: unclassified non-coding RNA, 332 nt
Filed under: soil metagenome
Description: partial contains 5.8S ribosomal RNA, internal transcribed spacer 2, and large subunit ribosomal RNA
Rfam family: 5.8S ribosomal RNA (bases 1-120)
Source: RNAcentral